GAUGAACGCUGGCGGCGUGCCUAAUACAUGCAAGUCGAGCGAACAGACGAGGAGCUUGCUCCUCUGACGUUAGCGGCGGACGGGUGAGUAACACGUGGAUAACCUACCUAUAAGACUGGGAUAACUUCGGGAAACCGGAGCUAAUACCGGAUAAUAUAUUGAACCGCGUGGUUCAAUAGUGAAAGACGGUUUUGCUGUCACUUAUAGAUGGAUCCGCGCCGCAUUAGCUAGUUGGUAAGGUAACGGCUUACCAAGGCGACGAUGCGUAGCCGACCUGAGAGGGGGAUCGGCCACACUGGAACUGAGACACGGUCCAGACUCCUACGGGAGGCAGCAGUAGGGAAUCUUCCGCAAUGGGCGAAAGCCUGACGGAGCAACGCCGCGUGAGUGAUGAAGGUCUUCGGAUCGUAAAGCUCUGUUAUUAGGGAAGAACAAAUGUGUAAGUAACUAUGCACGUCUUGACGGUACCUAAUCAGAAAGCCACGGCUAACUACGUG
This 497-nucleotide ribosomal RNA is filed under the name uncultured bacterium. Its description in RNAcentral is "partial 16S ribosomal RNA". It matches the Rfam family "Bacterial small subunit ribosomal RNA", at positions 28 to 507 of the family's 1533-position model. The record is from RNAcentral.